RNAcentral lists this ribosomal RNA (301 nucleotides) under uncultured bacterium. RNAcentral's name for it is "partial 16S ribosomal RNA". It matches the Rfam family "Bacterial small subunit ribosomal RNA", at positions 509 to 807 of the family's 1533-position model. The record is from RNAcentral.
CAGUCGCCACGGUAAUACGGAGGGUGCAAGCGUUAAUCGGAAUUACUGGGCGUAAAGCGCACGCAGGCGGUCUGACAAGUCAGAUGUGAAAUCCCCGGGCUUAACCUGGGAACUGCAUUUGAAACUGUCAGGCUGGAGUCUUGUAGAGGGGGGUGGAAUUCCAGGUGUAGCGGUGAAAUGCGUAGAGAUCUGGAGGAAUACCGGUGGCGAAGGCGGCCCCCUGGACAAAGACUGACGCUCAGGUGCGAAAGCGUGGGGAGCAAACAGGAUUAGAUACCCGGGUAGUCCCUGUCUCUUAUAC